CCAUGUCGCUGAUCCACGACGACUUGCCAUGUAUGGACAACGACGACCUCCGCCGCGGAAAACCCACCAACCAUAAGGUGUUCGGCGAGGACGUCGCGGUCCUGGCCGGCGACGCUCUCUUGGCCUUCGCAUUCGAGCACAUCUCCCUGUCUACCGUCGGCGUGUCGCCGGCCCGAAUCGUCAGGGCAGUCGGGGAAUUGGCCAAGUCAAUUGGGUCCGAAGGACUCGUGGCCGGGCAAGUGGUGGAUAUAGACUCAGAGGGGUUGUCCGAUGUGGGACUCGAACAGCUGGAAUACAUCCACCUCCACAAGACGGCGGC
Molecule: long non-coding RNA, 319 nt
Filed under: Malus domestica (apple)
Lineage: Eukaryota; Viridiplantae; Streptophyta; Magnoliopsida; Rosales; Rosaceae
Description: long non-coding RNA (MDOM_LNC001566)
Source: RNAcentral